Long non-coding RNA from Sinocyclocheilus rhinocerous, 1205 nucleotides. RefSeq lists it as uncharacterized. The record is from RefSeq and is a predicted model, not a curated record. Lineage: Eukaryota; Metazoa; Chordata; Actinopteri; Cypriniformes; Cyprinidae. The transcript has 3 exons.
UCUCUCCGUCUGUCUCUCCCUCCCUCAGCUUCACUCGCUCUUGUGCUGUAAGUUCAUUUGCUGUGUCAAGCAACAACUGGCUCGGGAGUGGGCAGUGGGUUUUGAUCCUUUUGUCAAGCGUCCCCCCUGCGAGCAUGUACCGCGUCCACCUGCACACCACGGGACUGGUCGCCUGGCUCUCUCUAACAUCGCCGUACCGUCCUGGGUUUAUCACGAUCAGGCAUCCCACCUUGCUGAGAUGGGCGGCACGAUGAGAUGCUGAAGGUUUGACGGGGCGAACCCGCUACUGUGGACUAUCAUCAUCAUCAGAAUCAUCGCAGUGGCAAUGGGAGUCAGGACAUGGAUGCUAGCCGGAGGACCUCCGCGGGGGUCCUUGCAUCCCAGAAUUGUUCAUGCCGUUGAUUUCGAACCGUUAUUUGGCUAUCCUUGGAUCCUCAAACAGCCCAGCAAGAGCUUGUGCCUCCAUCCUAAAGACUUUAAGGCUUCCAGCUGUCAUUACUUUCUCUAAAACCAAGCAAUGGACCAUUGUGAGCCAAGCCAGCACUAACCGGUAUUUUCAGACAGGGGAAGCUCUGAGUAGCCACCAAACAAGGGUAAAACCUUUCCAAAAACACAGGGGAUAUUCUUAUUUUGAAUUCAAUCCUAAAUCUAUUGUUUGAUCUAAUUAUUCUGCCUCUAAGGCCCUUUUAUCCCGGCACGGCUGAUGAAACCGAAGCGAAAGAGGAGGCAGAGUGUGUCUCCUGGUUGUUGAGACAUGCUAGGACAUCCAUAGCACAGAAAGAGAGAGCGAGAUAAAGAGCAAGAGAUAGAAAGAAAGCGAAUAAAAGAGUACUGAGUGAUUCAGUCACGUACAGCCCAGGCAUUAUCUAGCCAACAAUAAAAGAUUACAUCAUAUCAGCUGGCAUAAUUUCUUCAAGGUCUUUUAUUGAUUCUUUGAAUGGCGAGUGAAGCUGUUGAAAGUGUACAAAAGAAAGCCAUUGUAUUUACGGGAUCACAUCAGGAUUUUAUAGGCACACAGAAAUGAUUUGACGAUUCCGCUUUCAUUCGGAGGAUGAUCACAACUUUCAUGUGGCUUUGUAACAGGUACACAACCCUCCAAUUAUGUUUAAUUCCUCUUUGUAUGCAAGAUGAGCCAGCACUCCUAAACUGAGAACAAACUAGUGAGAAAAUACAUUACAGUUUAUUAUACUCUCAUCUGUCGCUGU